GACGAACGCUGGCGGCGUGCUUAACACAUGCAAGUCGAACGGAAAGGCCCUGCUUUUGUGGGGUGCUCGAGUGGCGAACGGGUGAGUAACACGUGAGUAACCUGCCCUUGACUUUGGGAUAACUUCAGGAAACUGGGGCUAAUACCGGAUAGGAGCUCCUGCUGCAUGGUGGGGGUUGGAAAGUUUCGGCGGUUGGGGAUGGACUCGCGGCUUAUCAGCUUGUUGGUGGGGUAGUGGCUUACCAAGGCUUUGACGGGUAGCCGGCCUGAGGGGGUGACCGGCCACAUUGGGACUGCGAUACGGCCCAGACUCCUACGGGAGGCAGCAGUGGGGAAUAUUGCACAAUGGGCGGAAGCCUGAUGCAGCAACGCCGCGUGCGGGAUGACGGCCUUCGGGUUGUAAACCGCUUUCGCCUGUGACGAAGCGUGAGUGACGGUAAUGGGUAAAGAAGCACCGGCUAACUACGUG
Molecule: ribosomal RNA, 468 nt
Filed under: uncultured bacterium
Lineage: Bacteria
Description: partial 16S ribosomal RNA
Rfam family: Bacterial small subunit ribosomal RNA
Source: RNAcentral